GACGUAGGGCGCGAGCGUUGUCCGGAUUUAUUGGGCGUAAAGAGCUCGUAGGCGGUUUGUCGCGUCGGCCGUGAAAUCUCCACGCUUAACGUGGAGCGUGCGGUCGAUACGGGCAGACUUGAGUUCGGUAGGGGAGACUGGAAUUCCUGGUGUAGCGGUGAAAUGCGCAGAUAUCAGGAGGAACACCGGUGGCGAAGGCGGGUCUCUGGGCCGAUACUGACGCUGAGGUGCGAAAGCGUGGGGAGCAAACAGG
Molecule: ribosomal RNA, 253 nt
Filed under: uncultured bacterium
Lineage: Bacteria
Description: partial 16S ribosomal RNA
Rfam family: Bacterial small subunit ribosomal RNA
Source: RNAcentral